This 486-nucleotide ribosomal RNA is filed under the name uncultured bacterium. Its description in RNAcentral is "partial 16S ribosomal RNA". It matches the Rfam family "Bacterial small subunit ribosomal RNA", at positions 30 to 507 of the family's 1533-position model. The record is from RNAcentral.
AUUGAACGCUGGCGGCAUGCCUUACACAUGCAAGUCGAACGGCAGCACGGGUGCUUGCCCCUGGUGGCGAGUGGCGAACGGGUGAGUAAUACAUCGGAACAUGUCCUGUAGUGGGGGAUAGCCCGGCGAAAGCCGGAUUAAUACCGCAUACGAUCUACGGAUGAAAGCGGGGGACCUUCGGGCCUCGCGCUAUAGGGUUGGCCGAUGGCUGAUUAGCUAGUUGGUGGGGUAAAGGCCUACCAAGGCGACGAUCAGUAGCUGGUCUGAGAGGACGACCAGCCACACUGGGACUGAGACACGGCCCAGACUCCUACGGGAGGCAGCAGUGGGGAAUUUUGGACAAUGGGCGAAAGCCUGAUCCAGCAAUGCCGCGUGUGUGAAGAAGGCCUUCGGGUUGUAAAGCACUUUUGUCCGGAAAGAAAUCCUUGGCCCUAAUACGGUCGGGGGAUGACGGUACCGGAAGAAUAAGCGCCGGCUAACUACGUG